AUAAGAAACAGUUGCAACAAUCAGAGUCAGAGAGCACAGGAUGCUUUGUCGUUUAGCUUUUGGAGCAGGUGGCAAGGCCUAUGAGUUCAUUUUUUACAGUUGCAAUAGCCUGGAAGAAUCAAGGUCACAGAACCAGUAAAUCAUCUCAGCCCUCCUCUGCUUUCUCCCAACCUUGUACCUCUAGGAAAAAAAAUUCAAUCUUCUGCCCCAAAUUAUAGGAAGGUCAUGUUCAUCCUUGACAGGCAGAAUUCUCAGCCAUGAAGACAUGAGCAGAGCAAUCCACUACCCAAGUCUGAGCAUAUCCUCAUGAAUGUUGAUUAGUUUGGAAGACUAUAAAGUCCUGAUGGGCCUAGACCUUCCAGUAGUGGCCAGAUUAGUAGGGCUGGGGACUCUGGUGGGCCACCCAGAACUAGAUGCACCAUCUCAGAGGUUUUACUUAAAGACAUUGAAGGAAAUUUAAAAAGAAUUUUUAAUUAGAUUGGAUAGAGAGAAAAUAAUGGGGGAGGAGUAGGGGGGUUAGGAAGGGCAGGAGAAUAGACAUUAUGAUUGAUGUAUGUAUAUAGGUGAUUAUGACUAGUGUGACUCAAUUGCAAUCUGCACAAUUAGAAAAAUGAGAAAUUAUACCCCAAUG
Molecule: long non-coding RNA, 631 nt
Filed under: Marmota monax (woodchuck)
Lineage: Eukaryota; Metazoa; Chordata; Mammalia; Rodentia; Sciuridae
Source: RNAcentral